UGUCUUCUGGAUAUAAACAAUAGC
RNAcentral lists this non-coding RNA (24 nucleotides) under Cricetulus griseus (Chinese hamster). Lineage: Eukaryota; Metazoa; Chordata; Mammalia; Rodentia; Cricetidae. The record is from RNAcentral.